Yarrowia lipolytica is the source of this 71-nucleotide non-coding RNA. The record is from Rfam. NCBI's taxonomy places the organism in Eukaryota, Fungi, Ascomycota, Dipodascomycetes, Dipodascales.
GUCCUACUAGUUUAAUGGUAAAAUGUUUGUCUUCUAAACAGUUGAUCGUGGUUCGAAUCCAUGGUGGGAUA